UACAGGGGGUGCAAACGUUGCUCGGAAUUAUUGGGCGUAAAGCGCGCGUAGGCGGCUAUUUAAGUCGGGUGUGAAAGCCCCGGGCUCAACCUGGGAAUUGCAUUCGAGACUGAAUAGCUAGGGUACGGUAGAGGGAAGCGGAAUUUCCGGUGUAGCGGUGAAAUGCGUAGAUAUGCGGAGGAACACCGAUGGCGAAGGCAAUCCCCUGGACCUGUACUGACGCUCAUGCACGAAAGCGUGGGGAGCAAACAGG
This 253-nucleotide ribosomal RNA is filed under the name uncultured bacterium. Its description in RNAcentral is "partial 16S ribosomal RNA". It matches the Rfam family "Bacterial small subunit ribosomal RNA", at positions 524 to 776 of the family's 1533-position model. The record is from RNAcentral.